GACGAACGCUGGCGGCGUGCUUAACACAUGCAAGUCGAGCGGUAAGGCCCUUUCGGGGGUACACGAGUGGCGAACGGGUGAGUAACACGUGGGUGACCUGCCCUUAGCUCUGGGAUAAGCCUGGGAAACUGGGUCUAAUACCGGAUAUGACUCCAUGACGCAUGUUGUGGGGUGGAAAGCCUUGUGCGGCUAGGGAUGGGCCCGCGGCCUAUCAGCUUGUUGGUGGGGUGAUGGCCACCAAGGCGACGACGGGUAGCCGGCCUGAGAGGGCGACCGGCCACACUGGGACUGAGACACGGCCCAGACUCCUACGGGAGGCAGCAGUGGGGAAUCUUGCGCAAUGGGCGAAAGCCUGACGCAGCGACGCCGCGUGAGGGAUGACGGCCUCGG
RNAcentral lists this ribosomal RNA (390 nucleotides) under uncultured bacterium. RNAcentral describes it as "bacterial SSU rRNA". It matches the Rfam family "Bacterial small subunit ribosomal RNA", at positions 28 to 420 of the family's 1533-position model. The record is from RNAcentral.